Molecule: non-coding RNA, 70 nt
Organism: Podarcis lilfordi (Lilford's wall lizard)
Lineage: Eukaryota; Metazoa; Chordata; Lepidosauria; Squamata; Lacertidae
Source: the annotation of a GenBank genome assembly
GCUUUAGCUCAUUGGCAGAGUAUCUGCUUUGCGUGCAGAAGGUCCCAGGUUCAGUCCCCCAGAAUCUCCA